CAAUAGCGUAUAUUAAAGUUGUUGCGGUUAAAAAGCUCGUAGUUGGAUUUCUGGUUGAAGCGACCGGUCGGGCGUUGAUUCGUCUGCACUGGAGUCGGUUUUGGUCAUCCUCUAGGAAAGUGCGUCUGGUAUUAAGUUAUCGGGCGUAUGAUCCUGGUCUUUUACUGUGAAAAAAUUAGAGUGUUUAAAGCAGGCCUUCGCCUUGAAUACAUUAGCAUGGAAUAAUAAGAUAGGACUUUGGUCUAUUUUGUUGGUUUGCAGACCGAAGUAAUGAUUAAUAGGGAUAGUUGGGGGUAUUUAUAUUCCGAUGUCAGAGGUGAAAUUCUUAGAUUUUCGGAAGAUAAACUUAUGCGAAAGCAUUUACCAAGGAUGUUUUCAUUAA
Molecule: ribosomal RNA, 382 nt
Filed under: uncultured eukaryote
Lineage: Eukaryota
Description: partial 18S ribosomal RNA
Rfam family: Eukaryotic small subunit ribosomal RNA
Source: RNAcentral